Molecule: ribosomal RNA, 446 nt
Filed under: uncultured bacterium
Lineage: Bacteria
Description: partial 16S ribosomal RNA
Rfam family: Bacterial small subunit ribosomal RNA
Source: RNAcentral
CCUACGGGAGGCAGCAGUCGAGAAUCAUUCACAAUGGGGGAAACCCUGAUGGUGCGACGCCGCGUGGGGGAAUGAAGGUCUUCGGAUUGUAAACCCCUGUCAUGUGGGAGCAAAUUAAAAAGAUAGUACCACAAGAGGAAGAGACGGCUAACUCUGUGCCAGCAGCCGCGGUAAUACAGAGGUCGCAAGCGUUGUUCGGAACCACUGGGCUUAAAGCGUGCGUAGGCUGUUUCGUAAGUCGUGUGUGAAAGGCGCGGGCUCAACCCGCGGACGGCACAUGAGACUGCGAGACUAGAGUAAUGGAGGGGGAACCGGAAUUCUCGGUGUAGCAGUGAAAUGCGUAGAUAUCGAGAGGAACACUCGUGGCGAAGGCGGGUUCCUGGACAUUAACUGACGCUGAGGCACGAAGGCCAGGGGAGCGAAAGGGAUUAGAUACCCUUGUAGUC